Molecule: ribosomal RNA, 623 nt
Filed under: uncultured bacterium
Lineage: Bacteria
Description: bacterial SSU rRNA
Rfam family: Bacterial small subunit ribosomal RNA
Source: RNAcentral
GAAACUGGCGCACGGGUGAGUAACGCAUGGGGAUAUGCCUAAAGGUACGGAAUAACCGUUGGAAACGACGGCUAAUACCGUAUGCUCCCUCAGGGGAAAAGCUUCGGCGCCUUUAGAUUAUCCCGCGUCCUAUUAGCUUGUUGGUGAGGUAACGGCUCACCAAGGCUCCGAUCGGUAGCUGGUCUGAGAGGACGAUCAGCCACACUGGGACUGAGACACGGCCCAGACUCCUACGGGAGGCAGCAGUGGGGAAUAUUGGACAAUGGGGGCAACCCUGAUCCAGCCAUGCCGCGUGAGUGAAGAAGGCCUUAGGGUUGUAAAGCUCUUUCAGCGGGGAAGAUGAUGACGGUACCCGCAGAAGAAGCCCCGGCUAACUCCGUGCCAGCAGCCGCGGUAAUACGGAGGGGGCUAGCGUUGCUCGGAAUUACUGGGCGUAAAGGGCGCGUAGGCGGAUUUCUCAGUCAGGCGUGAAAGCCCCGGGCUCAACCCGGGAACUGCGUUUGAAACUAGAAGUCUAGAGAUCUGGAGAGGGUGGUGGAAUUCCCAGUGUAGAGGUGAAAUUCGUAGAUAUUGGGAAGAACACCGGGUGGCGAAGGCGGCCACCUGGCCAGACACUGACGCUA